Molecule: ribosomal RNA, 253 nt
Filed under: uncultured bacterium
Lineage: Bacteria
Description: partial 16S ribosomal RNA
Rfam family: Bacterial small subunit ribosomal RNA
Source: RNAcentral
UACGGAGGGUGCAAGCGUUGUCCGGAUUUAUUGGGUUUAAAGGGUGCGUAGGCGGCUUUUUAAGUCAGUGGUGAAAGCCUCCAGCUUAACUGGAGAACAGCCAUUGAUACUGAAGAGCUUGAGUACAGACGAGGUAGGCGGAAUUUAUGGUGUAGCGGUGAAAUGCAUAGAUACCAUAAAGAACUCCUAUUGCGAAGGCAGCUUACUAGGCUGUAACUGACGCUGAGGCACGAAAGCGUGGGGAUCAAACAGG